GGCACAUUAAUCUUACGUAGUAGAAAUUCCUCGAAGGGAAUUUAUUUUGCUGAGGCCCAUGCUUCGUGAGACGUAACACUUGAUGUUUUUAAAAUAAAAAUCAUUAUUUAACAAUUUAAGUUUUUGCAAAUUUGCAUUAGAAUAAUAAAAAAAUAAGUGAUUUAUUAGGCAAAUAAAUAGAGAAUUUAUAGAGAUUUUGUAAAUAAUUUUUUUCGAAAAUGUAUCCUUGCGUCUGAAAUGGAUCAGAAAAUUUGACCAUCGAUUUAUGCAAUAAAAAAGCAAUUGUCUCCUUUAUGGAAAAUACACAUAUCCGAGCGUUAACAUGAAAAUUAGUAGUGGGAGUAAGAGCUUUUCUUUACUGCUAAUUUUAAGUGGCGCUAUUAUAUGAAACUUAUUUGACGAAAAUUUUGGAAACAUUAUUUACACCAACCAUGAUUCCAAACAUAAUUUUUGAUCAAUUCUGAUAAACAAAAUCCCAAUAUAAAGAUAAAAAUUUAAGUGAGGAUAUAGCUUUCCGAAUUUUCAAAAAAGCUUUAGUGUUUGACAUUAGUUGCCAAUCAAUAUACGAUUUCGUCCAUCCGAUCUGAUUUUAGCAAUUUUCGUGUCUGUGAAUCUUUUGUUGUCUUUCAUUGCCUAUAGUAAUGCUAAAAAAAAUUUUAGUUUUUUCUCUUUCUUGAGUUUUGGUUUGUAUCUAGUUAUAAACUUCUUCAAUAAAAUAAUUUUGUAUUAAUAAUGUAAUUAAUAAGUAAUUGUAUAUAAUUAAUCUAAUAAUAUUAAUAAUAGUAUAAUAAUAGUAUUAAUGUAAAAUAAUUAUUUAAAUAAUCGUAUUAAUAUGAAAUAUAUUCAUCCUUUUUUUUAUAUGAAAAGAAAAUUUGAACAUUAUCUUUCUCAAUUAAAAUUAAAAUCGAUUCUAAAUUGGUAUCGCGAAGUGGUUCAAUUUUACCAUAACUGGACGUCAGCGUUUUUUAUAGAAGUAUGUCAAGUUUCUCAACGUUAUUUCAUAGAUAAGUAUUAAAUUUGCAACUAGUAAAGUGGUAUAGAAUCAGUGAGCCGAAAGAUACUAAUACUGUUAUGUAAUAUAAACAUACUAAAUAAGAGAUGUCUAAUCAGAAGAAAAGGUGGAGAAAAAAAGAAAGAUUAAAAAGCCAAUAAAAAGAAAUAAAAACCAAAAGGUUGAUUCAGAAGAAAAUAAA
Molecule: long non-coding RNA, 1193 nt
Organism: Vespula vulgaris
Lineage: Eukaryota; Metazoa; Arthropoda; Insecta; Hymenoptera; Vespidae
Exons: 3
Source: RefSeq, a predicted model, not a curated record